RNAcentral lists this transfer RNA (73 nucleotides) under Felis catus (domestic cat). It matches the Rfam family "tRNA". From Rfam's summary of the family: Transfer RNA (tRNA) molecules are approximately 80 nucleotides in length. Their secondary structure includes four short double-helical elements and three loops (D, anti-codon, and T loops). Further hydrogen bonds mediate the characteristic L-shaped molecular structure. tRNAs have two regions of fundamental functional importance: the anti-codon, which is responsible for specific mRNA codon recognition, and the 3' end, to which the tRNAs corresponding amino acid is attached (by aminoacyl-tRNA synthetases). tRNAs cope with the degeneracy of the genetic code in two manners: having more than one tRNA (with a specific anti-codon) for a particular amino acid; and 'wobble' base-pairing, i.e. permitting non-standard base-pairing at the 3rd anti-codon position. Lineage: Eukaryota; Metazoa; Chordata; Mammalia; Carnivora; Felidae. The record is from Rfam by way of RNAcentral. RNAcentral also lists the same sequence under 2 other names.
GCCUGGUUGGCUCAGUAGAAAAAGCAUGCAACUCUUGAUCUUAAGGUUGUGAGUUCAAACCCCACACUGGGUG